Long non-coding RNA from Cygnus olor (mute swan), 4137 nucleotides. RefSeq lists it as uncharacterized. The transcript is spliced from 5 exons. NCBI's taxonomy places the organism in Eukaryota, Metazoa, Chordata, Aves, Anseriformes, Anatidae. The record is from RefSeq and is a predicted model, not a curated record.
CUGGCAAAGUGGGUGGCAUUCUUGUGCCAAAAUAUUUACUGUUAUAAAAAGAAAACAAACUUCUGUGCAUUUCAGGGACUGAACUAUAAUUUCAUGGCAGAGUAGAAUAUAUUAUUAUAUAAAACAGCGGUAACCAGCUUCUUUCUUAGAGAUGGAUAUUUCUAAUUAAAAUUGGAGGAUUUGGAGGGUUGCCUGCACUACCGAAUCCAGCUCCCACAUGUUUGUAAGGCAGCAAAAUCUUUGGGUUCUGUAGGUAAACUUGUCAAACUCCAUCACGGAGCCGGUCGGGAUGUUUGUCCUCGCAAUUCAGCUGGAAGGGUAAUGCGGGUCCUCGCUGCUCCUGACGGGCAGAAGCUGUUCUCUAAUUUCCAGCUGAAACCUGUUAAUGACCAGCUUUACUACCAGCUUGUUCUUCUGCCAGGAAGGAUUAAGCUGUUUGUGGGAGGGACGAAGAACAGCUGGUGCUUUUUCUUUGGAAGCGGCAGGUGAUGAUACAGGCUGGAGCAGAGAAACCUGAGCUGAAGGAAGCUGGCACCACUUCAGUAGAAGAAGCGGUUUGAAGGUGUUGGAUUAGUAAGUCUGGCCUGCUGGAGGACCGCUGCUCUAAGUGGUGGAUGUUCACUGAGGUGGGACCGAGGAGUGACCCCUUCAGCAGCUGGGUCACCGUGGUUGCUGGGUACUGUGUUCUCACAAGAAAUUCCCCCGUGAUGGAGCUGCACAGUGUGGGAGUGUAGGACCUGCGGGCAGAGCAGCUCCGUGGUAGAGUCGGUGGAUGCCUGGCGAUGGGGACUCCUGUUCUGUGCUGCUCAGUGCUGAGCACCAUUUUCCAUGUGGUAUGGAAAGCAAACAUGUUAAGCAAAAAGUUGGUUAUUUAUAAAGAUGAGGAAACGUCAACUAAGAUAGGACGCGGAGAGUCGAGAGUUCUCCUUGAAGGCAGAAGACUCCUUUAGCUCUGCAUUUGCUCUGUGACAGCUCUUUAAAGGCAUCCUUUGGGCACCUUCGCCAUGCCCACACGUGUGGCUGGAGACGUUUGCAUCCCAUGGCCUUGCCGAGCACUUCGGGAGUUGAUUUGCUCUUAAAUGCAAGCCUGAAACCUCCGAUGCACAGAUGUCAUUACAACGAGCGUGCUUUGGUGUUGUCAAAUUAAGCUAAACCUUGCUGGCCUUAAGGUAAGGAAGCUACAGGUUAAAGGUGAGGUCUAAAGAAGAGAGUGAAAGUCUUCAAGCACUGAAACGUUGUGAAUCGUUGCUCCAAAAUUACGCAGCUCGCCCUUACAACAGGUUGUGCUAACACAGAGGAAUUCCACAAGGAUAACCAGACAGAAGAGAUCCAACUUUUCAUUAUUUAUCAGGCGGGAGGAGAGCACACGUUUCGUUUAUAUGCGCACAAGUGCUCAACUGUUCAGGAUAAACAACUAACUGCACGGGUCCAAGCCUUUUGGCUGCUCCUUUGUGUAGGGCUGAGCGUGCUGUAGAAAUAACCAACAGCGUGCUUUUGUGUGUUGAAAUGAGAGGCUGAGGAUAUGUUUCAGGUAAAAAGAGACCUAGGGACGGUUGGUGGGGAGGCAAGAGGAGUCUGGAGUUUCAGGUUUGGAGUUACCACGCAGGCUCCUCAUGACCAUAUUGUCUUAAAGGAGUUUGGGAUAGCAAAGAUGGGGCAUACCACGGGGCGCGUGCGCCUUUCUUGGGGUUUAAUAAUCUGUUGAUCAGCAGCUCCCCGCCCGAUGUUGAAUCUUGCAUCUUGUUCCCUCUGUCACAAAAGCCCAGAUGCUCUGAGGACCGACCGGCUAGGGGUGAUGUGUAAUCAGUCACCUCUUCUCGCUGUAACCCAGGGGAGCUAAUUCCUAACCUGCUUGAGUUAGACAUUUAUUUACUUAUUUUCACUUGUUGUGCUGAAAGGAAGCAAGCAAGAUCCCGAGACUAACACAUGAGCUCUGUUUGCUCACCUGGGUGUGGAAGAGGGACAUGGAACUCCGAAAGCUUUAUGGUCGCUGGUUUGUAUGGACCCGAUUUACAUACAAGUUCUAGGCUUCUGUCUCAAAAGGAGUCUUGUAACUUCUGAAGCUUGUUUUUUCAGGAGUGUAGGUGGAAGAUACAGACACCUUUAGUGGUGCAGGUGGGUAUUGGCUCACUCUUUGCCUGUGCUGCCUGAGCUGGCAGCCCUCUUCCUCCUGUAGGAUCUGUGUGAACCCAUCCAUUUUGCGCCUUAUGCUGUAGGUCUAAAUGGUGUGAAACACUGCAAUACCUGAAGAUUUGGGGCCAGAGAGCCCGUGGUGUGCGAUCUCCUUUGUUUCACUCGUUUGGUGCGUGCUGGGGAGAGCCCAGGGCUGUCUGCGUGAAGGUUCACAAAAUGGCUGAGGGUGGAAAGGACCUCUGAAGAUUGUCUAGCCCAUCCUGUCCCUGCCAAGCAGGAAAGGUUGCCCCCGUGCUGCCUCAGCAGUGCCGUGGCAGCAGCCACCAACCGUGGCAGAAGCUUUGCCUCGCAGCCGUGCUGACGGUGUGGGACGGCGCCUGGGGUGGAGGUGAUCGCUGCUGGUGUCCGGAGCGAAGAGUUUCACGGGAUGGGAAGCAACCUUACUGCAGCUGUAAGUCAGUGACCCUUUCUCCUAGGAAUCCACAUGUGUAUUUAAAAAAAUAAAUCUGGCAGAAGCGUGAGCUGCCACCGCCAAGAAGACGACGGACACCACCCAAAAUGAUUGCGCUGCGAAGGCUUUCGGAGGAUUCAAGAGUGACAGGAGAGCCUUUCGGUUUGCUAAGCAAACUGUUGGGGAGCUUUUGAAGAAUGUUUUAAAAGACAGAGGAAAGAUGCCACAAGUCGUAAAUGUCAGGAGAACAUUGAGAUACAUUGAUCUAUCUCAAUAUUGAGAUAUGGAGGCAUUUUGCGGUUCCUGGUGGCGAAAUUCAGAACCACCACGUGCUUGUAAAGAGUUAAAUGCAGUUCCUGACAUCGAGGGCACGAGUGCUGCAUAGCCAUUCUUGCAUUUGUUUUGAACUUUAAAAAAACAACAGGCUGAUUAGCUGGAGCAGCUUUCCCCUGAGGGAAGACUACGGAGUGUAAUUUCAUUACAAAAUACAGUGCUUGGAGAUGAACUGGAGUUGGAUUUUUUUUUUUUCCCACCCUAAGGGAUUUGACAUUUCUAUUUCUUGACAUUUCUCUCAUUGUUAGACUAGCUGCUUUGUGCUGUGCUUUUUUUCCUCCCCUGGCAAAACCGUAGCUGUCUCCUUGAAGCUUGGAGCAUCUUUUCUUGUAGGUAAAGCUGGUAAUGGUUUGAAUUAGCUCAACAAGCAGAUGGUUGGAAAAGGAGGCUACGCUACGGAGUUUAAACGUGUAGCACUGGGACAAGCAGUGUAUUGCCAAAAAAAAAAAAAGUAUUAAGCAGUAGUCCCUUGAACACGGGUACAUUUAAAACUGUCAUUAGGAAAGGAUGUUACAUGGUAAAAAGAGAUGUAAAAAUAGCAACGGGUUACUCAGAGGUCUGGCUUAAGGUGUGUUACCCACAUCAAAAGUAGCAGCUGCGGCGGUUUUGUUCUGGAGCCCGUUAUUUUAGGAAUAACGGGUGUUUGUAUGAUGCUUUUCUGACUUCAGCCACUUUCCUCCACUGUUCAAUUCUGCAGUCUUUGAGUGGUAGCAUAACAGGCCAGCUCAUCUAAUGCGUUGGAAGUCUGUCAUUUAUUUGUAGGGGAACAGUGCAGGUAUUUUUCCACCUCCGUCCGUGACGAUCCUGUGGCACUUCUGGUGAUGGGCUCCGGGCUUCUGGCAGAGUUGACGGCAUCGCAGCUACUCACAGAUUGCUGCCAGCACAGCGAUGCUGGCUGGGAUGUUAACCUCUACAACCAAAGUCCCUGCUGUAAUCCUAGCUCUCCUGGCAAAGCCAUUGUUUUAACUGGGUUAACACGGCUCGCUUAGAGAGCGUAGCUUUGCUGUAAUGGCAUAAAGCUGGUUUACGGUAGGUCUGAAUUUUGGGUACUUGGGUAAUUUGGGUAAUUGUUGGUAGCCUCAGCAGCAGAGGUCUUCAUCUGAGCCCGGGUGGUUUCCAGCCUUAGCUUGAUUCCUCCUCUUUCUCCUUAGUUUGAUUCCUCCUAGUUUGAUUUCGUUCACUCAAAUCAGACUGAUUUUCAUUCAGUACAUUCAGGACAA